Podarcis lilfordi (Lilford's wall lizard) is the source of this 2324-nucleotide non-coding RNA. Lineage: Eukaryota; Metazoa; Chordata; Lepidosauria; Squamata; Lacertidae. The record is from the annotation of a GenBank genome assembly.
GUGUGGGAUCGUCACAGACGUCACACUGGGCUCCCUCAGUAGCUUCAACUGCAACUGGCUCAGGGGCCGCUAUGUGAGCAUCCACCUUCCCCGCCAUGGUUAUAUGACGCUGUGUGAAGUGGAUGUCUAUGGAGCUGUAGCAGAAGAGAUGCGUUAGGGAUCACCAGCAGUCUCUGCGUUGGUGUGUUCAGGGUGUGUGGCUGUCAAAGACCAAGGAUGCGUCAACCAACGCCACAGUCCUCCUUUCAGCAAGCCCCCUUUCCUCUACUUCUCCAGCAGCUUCUCAGGGCCCUGAGAACCAACAAGGGCUGUGCUUUUGCUCCUGCCACAAAGCGUAGACCAAGCAUAGGCAAACCCAGCCCUCCAGAUGUUUUGGGACUUCAACUCCCACCAUCCCUGACCACUGGGGCUAUUAGCUAGGGAUGAUGGGAGUUGUAGUCCCAAAACAUCUGGAGGGCCGAGUUUGCCUAUGCCUGGCGUAGACCAAGACACUGCUGAAAACCCAUCACGGCAAGAAUGAAGUCUUUCCCCGCCAUAGUGUUGAGCCCCAUACUCUAAGGUUACCAGACGUCCCCGUUUCCCAGGGACAGUCCCCGAAUUUACAAAUCAGUCCCCUGACAAAAUCCAUCUAUUUAAUAGGAAGUUGUAAAGUGUCCCCGGAUUCAUUGAAAAACAUCUGGUAACCUUACCAUACUCUGCAGCCCUGCUGCCAGGUCCCCUAUGGCACAAUAUAAUUGGCACCAGGCACCAGGUUGGCAGAAGCUAACUAGAACUUAAAAACCUUGCACUGAAGGUGUGUAAAAAUUCAACUUUUGUGCCAUAUGAGCUGUAACCUGUUUCUGCUCCAGACAGUGUAGAUCCACCAUUCCCAAUGCAGAGCCCACAGAAGAUGAAGUACCUGCUGUGGUGCCCACUAAUACCUCCCUUGGUGCCCUCUGCCCACCUGAGAUUGAAUUUGUUGGCUUUUUACUGAGGGAUGGUGUCAAGCAUGUGUCAUGGUGUGUGUAUGCCAUUCUGAACUUUUCCCCAUGGUUCAGUACAGAAUUCUCAAGGUUCCAUGGUUUAUUUCUGUAGAUCGUGACAUGUGUAAAAGUUGGCAUGGCAUCAUAUAAAACACGCCCCUCAGUUAACUUUCUUGACCCUGGUGCAAGUCUUUGCCUUGAAUGUGCCCUGGAACUUGAGGUCCAGAUCAGUGCAGUAAUCAGGUGUUGGCCACGACAUUUGAUUCACAUCUCCUGUGAAAAGAAUGGGUUCCACACAGACAGUACUAAGAUAACCUUGGAAAGAGAACCAGUUUGGCCAUUUCUUACUGGGAUUAUAUCGGUUCAACUACCAAUGAACAAAAUGUGAAACAGACAGGAACUUAAUAGGAAACAAUAGAAUAAAUAGGUUAUAAUGUGUGCUGGGCCCGGGGUUAACCCGAGCAACGCGGUCCAGGUCCGGUCCCAAAUCCAAGGGAGGAGUCAGUCCGACAGGGCCAAGACAGGACACGAGGCAGGAAACCAGGCAAGGGCAGGCACAGGAUCUCAGGCAGGUUCCAGCAAGCAGCAAUGUUGCUCCCGCAACCUGGGGCGGGGUCCGACAGACUUUUAUCUCUGUCGGGGUAAUGGCCGGUCCUGAUCCCCCGGCGACUCACCUCCCUGUCUCACCUGAAGGCGAGCACUCCUCCUGCGAGUACUCAGGUCCCUCCUUCUCUCAGACCUCAGUCUCUGCAGCUCGGGAGACGUCGGUGGAUUACUAGACCCAGAGGCCGCCUCAGCCUCCCCUGACCCAACCGGUAGCGGAGCAGCUGUAAGUGAUGGCCCAGCUGAAGGCAAGGAGGUCAUCCCAGCAUCUGGAGCCAGGGCAGGCUCAGGCCCCUGACUCAGCCCAGCUGGUGCUUGUUCCAGGGGAACCUGUGCAGACUGGGACUCUUCAGGAUCAGGCCCCAGACUUGGUUCAGAUGCCACCUGAGGCAGAGGAUCCAGUGCGGACUGAGACUCCUCCGGUUCUGAGCCCAAGCCCGAGUCCCAGGCCAUCACAUAAUGAAUGACUUAUCCCAAAGACCCCCUGCCCUCUCCAUCAUCUAACGUUGGCUCAAAAGAAUAUUUACAUCCUAGGUUAACCAUGCCUGGUUAGCUCCCACAGGAUUAGAGACCUUCUUGUCACCAACCGACACACCACUUUGCUUCUUUAGGCUUUCCAUGGGGAUCCUUCUUCCUCUUAGACCAAGGAGCAUAGGCCCCCUAGGAAUAGCUGCCUGCUUCUCUUGCAACUUUGCUGCCUGAAGCAGCACUCGUUUGCUCUUGUCGCUUUCCUUUCAUGCAAUAAACCCGCCUUUGUCC